This is a long non-coding RNA of Brassica rapa (field mustard), 411 nucleotides long. RefSeq lists it as uncharacterized. The record is from RefSeq and is a predicted model, not a curated record. NCBI's taxonomy places the organism in Eukaryota, Viridiplantae, Streptophyta, Magnoliopsida, Brassicales, Brassicaceae.
UUAUAUUAACUAUGAGAGAUCGUUGUAGAUUGGAGACUAAUCUGUAGCUUGAAACAUGCAACCAGCAAUGAAAGCAGAGGAUGAUGAAUCAGUGAGGAUGAAUGGAAUUGUGUGUUCAAGAUGGAUCGUCUCAAAUAAUAUACCGUUCGUAAUGAAACAAAAACUCGAAAUUUUGAAUCCAGUGAAUCAGAAUUGAGGAUCUCUAAGAUUUAAUCACCUUGCAGAGAUCAACGGAGCAAAGGAUGAAUCUUUCUAUUAGGCAGAUGAUACACAGAGAUAAAGUUCCCAAAUUUUAUUAUGGUCUGUACGCAUAUGAGGUAACAAAUACACUGUCAUGUAUUAUUCUUCUUUCUCAAUUCAUUGUGUAUGGUGGUUUGUAAAUAAUAUAUAUGUGUUAUUUGAUUUGCAUGA